This 253-nucleotide ribosomal RNA is filed under the name uncultured bacterium. RNAcentral's name for it is "partial 16S ribosomal RNA". It matches the Rfam family "Bacterial small subunit ribosomal RNA", at positions 524 to 776 of the family's 1533-position model. The record is from RNAcentral.
UACGGAGGGUGCAAGCGUUAUCCGGAUUUACUGGGUUUAAAGGGUGCGUAGGUGGGUACGUAAGUCAGUGGUGAAAUCUUCGAGCUUAACUCGGAAACUGCCAUUGAUACUAUUUAUCUUGAAUACUUUGGAGGUAAGCGGAAUAUGUCAUGUAGCGGUGAAAUGCUUAGAUAUGACAUAGAACACCAAUUGCGAAGGCAGCUUACUACACAGUUAUUGACACUGAGGCACGAAAGCGUGGGGAUCAAACAGG